RNAcentral lists this ribosomal RNA (330 nucleotides) under uncultured delta proteobacterium. RNAcentral's name for it is "bacterial SSU rRNA". It matches the Rfam family "Bacterial small subunit ribosomal RNA", at positions 29 to 355 of the family's 1533-position model. The record is from RNAcentral. Lineage: Bacteria; Deltaproteobacteria.
AGCGAACGUUGGCGGCGUGCUUAACACAUGCAAGUCGAGCGAGAAAGCACCCUUCGGGGUGUGAGUACAGCGGCGCACGGGUGAGUAACACGUGAGUAACGUGCCUUCAGGUUCGGAAUAACCACUCGAAAGGGUGGCUAAUGCCGGGUAAGACCACGACCUCUUCGGGGGAUGUGGCCAAAGUUCAGGCGCCUGAAGAUCGGCUCGCGUUCCAUUAGGUAGUUGGCGGGGUAAUGGCCCACCCAAGCCGAAGAUGGAUAGCUGGUCUGAGAGGAUGAUCAGCCACACUGGGACUGAGACACGGCCCAGACUCCUACGGGAGGCAGCAGU